UUCGGAUUGUAGUCUGCAACCCGACUACAUGAAGCUGGAAUCGCUAGUAAUCGCGAAUCAGCAUGUCGCGGUGAAUACGUUCCCGGGUCUUGUACACACCGCCCGUCACACCAUGGGAGUCGGUAACGCCCCGAAGUCAGUGACCCAACCGGAAGGAGGGAGCUGCCGAAGGCGGGACUGGUAACUGGGGUGAAGUCGUAACAAGGUACC
RNAcentral lists this ribosomal RNA (210 nucleotides) under uncultured bacterium. Its description in RNAcentral is "partial 16S ribosomal RNA". It matches the Rfam family "Bacterial small subunit ribosomal RNA", at positions 1292 to 1500 of the family's 1533-position model. The record is from RNAcentral.